Camellia sinensis is the source of this 728-nucleotide non-coding RNA. NCBI's taxonomy places the organism in Eukaryota, Viridiplantae, Streptophyta, Magnoliopsida, Ericales, Theaceae. The record is from RefSeq and is a predicted model, not a curated record.
UUUCCCCACAAGUUAGGGUUCUCUUUCUCAAUCUCACUCUCACGGUUUCUCAUUUCCAUUCUCACAUAGCAGUGAAGGCAACAAUCUCCAUAGGUUUUGCGAAGGCAACGAUCUAGCGGCGGCGAUCUCCGUCGGCGUUACCACGGUGGUUCUCCGGCGUGAGUUGUUGCUUCACAGAGUUUUUGGCACUCUUUUGCAAUUGGUGAAACCUGUCUAAGAGACCUACGCAUCAAUCAGCAGAAAAUACGGUACAGUGGUCCCAAAGAGUGCCAAUUCUCAAGCCAAAGGAAGGUGGAUUCUCCAUUGCCAAUUACUUUCUUAAUUAGGGCUUGUAGAUCUGUGAUUAUUCUCCUGAUCAACAUAGAAGCUUUGAUGGAACUAGUAACUCUUUGUGCUGGUCAUGGGUAGAGGAUAUUCUUGAGAGAGAGAGAGAGAGAGAGAGAGAGAGUAGCUGAUGAUGAUGCAUAAAUUACUACAUAAAGAUUGGUUUCUGAUGACGUUUAUUAGAAGCAUACUUGCAAAUCAAGAUCAAGUGUUGAAUUUUUUUUCUUGAACUGAUUCUUAGUUCUAGUUUUAAACCUAGUUGACUGAUAUUUUUUUUGUUGGACUUCGCGUUAGUUCAUUUUGGAAUUUGUUAUGAUGGUUUUUUUUAUUAUACUUAAUGGAUUAUUAUUAAAUUUGUUUGAUGGAUAUAUUUUCAUUUAUGAUAUAAAUUGUUUAGUGAAUUA